UACGUAGGGUGCGAGCGUUAAUCGGAAUUACUGGGCGUAAAGCGUGCGCAGGCGGCGCGUUAAGACGGGUGUGAAAGCCCCGAGCUUAACUUGGGAAUUGCGCUUGUGACUGGCGUGCUGGAGUGUGGCAGAGGGAGGUGGAAUUCCACGUGUAGCAGUGAAAUGCGUAGAGAUGUGGAGGAACACCGAUGGCGAAGGCAGCCUCCUGGGCCAGCACUGACGCUCAUGCACGAAAGCGUGGGGAGCAAACAGG
Molecule: ribosomal RNA, 253 nt
Filed under: uncultured bacterium
Lineage: Bacteria
Description: partial 16S ribosomal RNA
Rfam family: Bacterial small subunit ribosomal RNA
Source: RNAcentral